GAUGAACGCUAGCUACAGGCUUAACACAUGCAAGUCGAGGGGCAGCAUGGUCUUAGCUUGCUAAGGCUGAUGGCGACCGGCGCACGGGUGAGUAACACGUAUCCAACCUGCCGUCUACUCUUGGCCAGCCUUCUGAAAGGAAGAUUAAUCCAGGAUGGCAUCAUGAGUUCACAUGUCCGCAUGAUUAAAGGUAUUUUCCGGUAGACGAUGGGGAUGCGUUCCAUUAGAUAGUAGGCGGGGUAACGGCCCACCUAGUCAACGAUGGAUAGGGGUUCUGAGAGGAAGGUCCCCCACAUUGGAACUGAGACACGGUCCAAACUCCUACGGGAGGCAGCAGUGGGGAAUAUUGGUCAAUGGGCGAUGGCCUGAACCAGCCAAGUAGCGUGAAGGAUGACUGCCCUAUGGGUUGUAAACUUCUUUUAUAAAGGAAUAAAGUCGGGUAUGCAUACCCGUUUGCAUGUACUUUAUGAAUAAGGAUCGGCUAACUCCGUGCCAGCAGCCGCGGUAAUACGGAGGAUCCGAGCGUUAUCCGGAUUUAUUGGGUUUAAAGGGAGCGUAGAUGGAUGUUUAAGUCAGUUGUGAAAGUUUGCGGCUCAACCGUAAAAUUGCAGUUGAUACUGGAUGUCUUGAGUGCAGUUGAGGCAGGCGGAAUUCGUGGUGUAGCGGUGAAAUGCUUAGAUAUCACGAAGAACUCCGAUUGCGAAGGCAGCCUGCUAAG
This 718-nucleotide ribosomal RNA is filed under the name uncultured Bacteroidales bacterium. RNAcentral describes it as "bacterial SSU rRNA". It matches the Rfam family "Bacterial small subunit ribosomal RNA", at positions 28 to 733 of the family's 1533-position model. Lineage: Bacteria; Pseudomonadati; Bacteroidota; Bacteroidia; Bacteroidales. The record is from RNAcentral.